This 468-nucleotide ribosomal RNA is filed under the name uncultured bacterium. RNAcentral describes it as "partial 16S ribosomal RNA". It matches the Rfam family "Bacterial small subunit ribosomal RNA", at positions 28 to 507 of the family's 1533-position model. The record is from RNAcentral.
GACGAACGCUGGCGGCGUGCUUAACACAUGCAGGUCGAACGGAAAGGCCCUGCUUUUGUGGGGUGCUCGAGUGGCGAACGGGUGAGUAACACGUGAGUAACCUGCCCUUGACUUUGGGAUAACUUCAGGAAACUGGGGCUAAUACCGGAUAGGAGCUCCUGCUGCAUGGUGGGGGUUGGAAAGUUUCGGCGGUUGGGGAUGGACUCGCGGCUUAUCAGCUUGUUGGUGGGGUAGUGGCUUACCAAGGCUUUGACGGGUAGCCGGCCUGAGAGGGUGACCGGCCACAUUGGGACUGAGAUACGGCCCAGACUCCUACGGGGGGCAGCAGUGGGGAAUAUUGCACAAUGGGCGGAAGCCUGAUGCAGCAACGCCGCGUGCGGGAUGACGGCCUUCGGGUUGUAAACCGCUUUCGCCUGUGACGAAGCGUGAGUGACGGUAAUGGGUAAAGAAGCACCGGCUAACUACGUG